CUGGGAGGACCAUCUCCUAAGGCUAAAUACUCUCUAGUGACCGAUAGUGAACCAGUACCGUGAGGGAAAGGUGAAAAGCACCCCGGAAGGGGAGUGAAAUAGAACCUGAAACCGUGUGCUUACAAGUAGUCAGAGCCCGUUAAUGGGUGAUGGCGUGCCUUUUGUAGAAUGAACCGGCGAGUUACGAUUUGAUGCAAGGUUAAGCAGUAAAUGUGGAGCCGUAGCGAAAGCGAGUCUGAAUAGGGCGUUUAGUAUUUGGUCGUAGACCCGAAACCAGGUGAUCUACCCUUGGUCAGGUUGAAGUUCAGGUAACACUGAAUGGAGGACCGAACCGACUUACGUUGAAAAGUGAGCGGAUGAACUGAGGGUAGCGGAGAAAUUCCAAUCGAACCUGGAGAUAGCUGGUUCUCUCCGAAAUAGCUUUAGGGCUAGCCUCAAGUGAUGAUUAUUGGAGGUAGAGCACUGUUUGGACGAGGGGCCCCUCUCGGGUUACCGAAUUCAGACAAACUCCGAAUGCCAAUUAAUUUAACUUGGGAGUCAGAACAUGGGUGAUAAGGUCCGUGUUCGAAAGGGAAACAGCCCAGACCACCAGCUAAGGUCCCAAAAUAUAUGUUAAGUGGAAAAGGAUGUGGCGUUGCCCAGACAACUAGGAUGUUGGCUUAGAAGCAGCCAUCAUUUAAAGAGUGCGUAAUAGCUCACUAGUCGAGUGACACUGCGCCGAAAAUGUACCGGGGCUAAACAUAUUACCGAAGCUGUGGAUUGUCCUUUGGACAAUGGUAGGAG
This 783-nucleotide ribosomal RNA is filed under the name Staphylococcus aureus. Its description in RNAcentral is "partial 23S ribosomal RNA". It matches the Rfam family "Bacterial large subunit ribosomal RNA", at positions 444 to 1234 of the family's 2925-position model. Lineage: Bacteria; Bacillati; Bacillota; Bacilli; Caryophanales; Staphylococcaceae. The record is from RNAcentral.